RNAcentral lists this ribosomal RNA (445 nucleotides) under uncultured bacterium. RNAcentral's name for it is "partial 16S ribosomal RNA". It matches the Rfam family "Bacterial small subunit ribosomal RNA", at positions 354 to 796 of the family's 1533-position model. The record is from RNAcentral.
GUGGGGAAUAUUGGUCAAUGGACGAAAGUCUGAACCAGCCAUGCCGCGUGAAGGUUGAAGGCCCUCUGGGUUGUAAACUUCUUUUAUCUGGGACGAAAAAAGGGUAUUCUUACUCACUUGACGGUACCAGAGGAAUAAGCACCGGCUAACUCCGUGCCAGCAGCCGCGGUAAUACGGAGGGUGCAAGCGUUAUCCGGAUUCACUGGGUUUAAAGGGUGCGUAGGUGGGUAUUUAAGUCAGUGGUGAAAUCUCCGAGCUUAACUCGGAAACUGCCAUUGAUACUAUUUACCUUGAAUGCCCUGGAGGUAAGCGGAAUAUGUCAUGUAGCGGUGAAAUGCUUAGAUAUGACAUAGAACACCAAUUGCGAAGGCAGCUUACUACGGGGUGAUUGACACUGAGGCACGAAAGCGUGGGGAGCAAACAGGAUUAGAUACCCCUGUAGUCC